AGAGUUUGAUCAUGGCUCAGGACGAACGCUGGCGGCACGCUUAAAACAUGCAAGUCGAACGAGAAGCCCGGGCUUGCCCGGGUGGAAAGUGGCGAACGGGUGCGUAACACGUGAGCAACCUGCCCCGAAGACUGGGAUAACACCGGGAAACCGGUGCUAAUACCGGAUGCCUUCACCAUGUCGCAUGGCGAGGUGAAGAAAUGGAUUCCGCUUCGGGAUGGGCUCGCGGCCUAUCAGCUUGUUGGUGGGGUAAUGGCCUACCAAGGCAACGACGGGUAGCUGGUCUGAGAGGAUGUCCAGCCACACUGGGACUGAGACACGGCCCAGACUCCUACGGGAGGCAGCAGUUAGGAAUCUUGCGCAAUGGGCGAAAGCCUGACGCAGCGAUGCCGCGUGCGGGAUGAAGGCCCUCGGGUCGUAAACCGCUUUCAGCAGGGACGAUUGUGACGGUACCUGCAGAAGAAGCCCCGGCCAACUACGUGCCAGCAGCCGCGGUAAUACGUAGGGGGCAAGCGUUGUCCGGAUUUAUUGGGCGUAAAGAGCUCGUAGGCGGUUUGGUAAGUCGGGUGUGAAAUCUCCACGCUCAACGUGGAGGGGCCACUCGAUACUGCCAUGACUCGAGUCCGGUAGAGGAGUGUGGAAUUCCCGGUGUAGCGGUGAAAUGCGCAGAUAUCGGGAGGAACACCUGUAGCGAAGGCGGCACUCUGGGCCGGAACUGACGCUGAGGAGCGAAAGCGUGGGGAGCAAACAGGAUUAGAUACCCUAGUAGUCC
Molecule: ribosomal RNA, 772 nt
Filed under: uncultured bacterium
Lineage: Bacteria
Description: bacterial SSU rRNA
Rfam family: Bacterial small subunit ribosomal RNA
Source: RNAcentral